CCGCCCGGUUUGCGUACGUUUUUGUUCAAAUCACAGGCCGCGACACGCUUCCGAAGGUUGGCCAUCACGAUCGCUUCCUCCCUGUGGAACGGACAGAGAAGAGAAGACGGAAGCAAAAACAGCUGUCAACUGGUUCGUGUCGUACAUCAUCAUCGUUAUAAUUAAUUCCGAACGCUUCGUCGGACAACCAUCCACCAACAAAACCCCGGAAAGUAGUUCAAGUACCUUAGCUCCGUACGGUCUGGCACAGAAGAAGCGGAUGACUGUCCACUUCUCCUGAUGCUGCAGUGCAACAAAAUGCUCCAGAUGCGGCCGUUCAGUUUAAAAGAGGCAAAAGAUUUCCCCAUAACGUUCCUGCAUUCCAACACAACGGGCUGGGUUCAGGUCGAGAGCAUGCUGCUGGUCCAGGAAUGACCUGAGCGACGUUGCGUCUUCUCAAGAGCUACCGGUGGUCCUUCAUCUGCUAGAGCAACCAAUCCCCAGUGGAUGAAUAUCGUAUGAAAUUAUGCUCACGUUGACAGGUGACGGGAGGCCACGAGGCUCAGAUUGCUUCCUCUAGCGGGGAACGCGCGUUUGCGUGACACUUGGGCAAGCGUUUUGCUAGGCGUGGCCCGGGAGUACGUCCAAGCUGACUGUUAUCUUCAUUGAUUUAUGACUUAUUUUCAGCUUCACGCAUCUCACGGGCCACGGUGUUGGCCAACAUUUAUCCGUUUCCAUCUUUUCGGGCCCAAAAGCGCAUACAUAAUGGUAAGGAGGGAAGGGAGACCGUUGGCUAUUCUUCGCCUAGCACUGCUGGUUGCACGCUUCACGCACGACAUUGUGGAAGUUAUCAUUAACAUAAAUUACUUUCAGAUUAGGAAAAGGAACGACCGUUUGGUGCCCACGUUUGCGCUACGACGUUCUACGGCGCGUUUUAUUCACGUUUUCACAUUAUGAUUAAAAAACAACACAAACAACAAACCAUCAUGCUUAUGUUGGUUCGAGCGAAAAGCAUUAAGGAACGCUUAGGCAUUCGGUAGGGCCCACAGUUUUGGGGAAAACACUAAUCUGACAGCUAUCUGUGAUGAAUGGGCGCUGCUAUUAUUCCAACCAAAAUACUCACUUCAAUGAGAGUUUUGGACUCAGUUAUUUGAUUUAGUAUUGGAACUUUGAUUUUCAACAGGUUGCGUCAGGAUGCAAAAUUCAAAAUUACAUGCAAACUUUCUACGAAAUGUUGCCGCUUCUGUACCGUGUUGUUGCUCAAUGGGGACAGUUCUGCGCUCGCUUAAUGCCAUCAUCAAUUUUCUCCCAACCGUUCCUUUGCCUCAGCGUCUCGAUCUUAUCAGGCCCACCAAAUUCACCAUUCAACACUCCAUUAGGUUUACGCUUUAAAGCGGCGUGAAGGACGGUCGAUGGGACUCCAUUUUGGUGACUCCCGGGCGUAACUUUCCAUCCGAUUUCUACAUCUUCCAGCGGCUGCUCCAGGGCUGUUGUGGACACACGGCGUUAACGCUAACCGGGCGAACGAAUGGUUCGAUCCGAGUGAGUCCCUCCCCCUCCCAUCCGCAGGAAACGUAGUUUAUCAAGCUCAAUUACCUUUUCGGUUACUGUGCGGGGCCACGUGUACGACUGUGUACGACCGUGCCUGGCGAGAUGGCGGCAGCAUCUGGUGACGUGCGUCACAUGGAGACGAUGUUUUUUUUUUUUAGGAGUUUGUUUGUAUGUGUCUGUGUAUGCUUCUGUGGUGUGAGCAUGAAGCGGAAAAGCUCAUGAUUAAUUCCGUGGAAGAUAUUUUCGAAAUGACGCAAAUGGAAUUCGUCUCUGUGUGUGUCUGUUGUAAGUGUUUUUCGGUGGUCUUAAUUGCCCAUUUGCUGUAAGUAGGGUAGCAGGGCAGAGAGAAAGCAACUUCAUUUAAACUUUUGAAGUGUUUUGUACAAUUGAAAGGACAUAUUCAGGGAAAAGAGCUGCAAAUCAAAAUGUAGCAAACAAGAAAACAAAAUCCUAAGAACCAAUUCUGCGAAACAAAUACUUAGGUCCAUUUAAUUUAACUUCAUUACUUCACAGUUUACCUCAAAAUUGACAUAAUCUCAUUAUCUAAUAAAUGUUAACAUUUUAUUGAAUGCUUUGAAUCCAUCAAUUGUUUAAACUAUAAAGUUAUCCAAUAGCUGAUCUGAUAUUCCUACUAAAAUUGUUGAUUGUAAAAGAUUACUUUUAUCAAUUACCCUAAUAGCAACCAAAUUCGACAGCAUUUAAACAACCACUCAUAUCGUCCAUAAUAUAUUCACCAUUUUGUUUCCUCCCGGGCAAAUCUGCUAAGUAAGCUGCCCUCCGCAAACGAUUAAGCAGCGAGGCGCACCGGGCAAAACUUUUCCCUCUUUGAAUCGCAUUGCUCUUGCUUGCUAUCCCCUUGUAGCGACCAGACCGCCAUCUGGCGUGAGAAUCGUGAGCGAUCGUGACAUCCAGGGACAAAGACACGGAUCUCCGUGGAGCGCACUCACCAGGCACACGAAUGUGUCAAAGUGACGUGCGCCGCGUGUCCAGCGCUACACUUCCUGCUGUCAGCGAGCACAUUCUCUCUCUUGCGACCCAACCUCGAAAGCGAACAGACCUCUUCCUUAGCUCCGCGCUCGAAAAUUCCUCAACGUGAAACCCUCUCGAACGAACGUGCGCAACCGUUCAUAAUAUAGUGUAAAAUAAAGUUCCUUAUUACCUACUCACGAAA
Long non-coding RNA from Anopheles arabiensis, 2701 nucleotides. RefSeq lists it as uncharacterized. The transcript has 4 exons. The record is from RefSeq and is a predicted model, not a curated record. NCBI's taxonomy places the organism in Eukaryota, Metazoa, Arthropoda, Insecta, Diptera, Culicidae.